Molecule: non-coding RNA, 459 nt
Organism: Cinara cedri
Lineage: Eukaryota; Metazoa; Arthropoda; Insecta; Hemiptera; Aphididae
Source: the annotation of a GenBank genome assembly
UUUCAUUUUCCAAAUAUUAUUUUAUCUGUAUACAAAAUACUAAUAUUUACAAAUCACCUUCUUUUUCUUCGUUGCCCUAAUGCAGGUCAUUCGGGUUUUUUGACGCAACCACUAUUACCCUCCGUCUAUCUCUAUCAGCAGAAAUUUCUUCACCAUUGUAUAUUCUCAGAAAGUUUAAGUCCUGCUGUACUCUGUCCAUCCAUCUCUGUCUUGAGGAGCGUUUUAAUGGUCUCCUAUAUUUGUCGAGUCCCAUUUGAUCACCUAUAUAUCUGCGCCUAUACUAUUAUCAUAAAACAAAUUCAACAACUUAAUCUUUACGAAAAACCCUGACGAUUUAUUUGUCUAUAUCGCCCAACUCCAUCAGCACGUAAGCUUCUUACGGUAAAAUUACAAAAUGUAUUAUAUUCAUCGGCCCGUUCUUAAAAGCUUAAAUACAUUUAUGUUUUUCUCGUGACCCAU